This 470-nucleotide ribosomal RNA is filed under the name uncultured Anaerolineaceae bacterium. RNAcentral's name for it is "bacterial SSU rRNA". It matches the Rfam family "Bacterial small subunit ribosomal RNA", at positions 897 to 1382 of the family's 1533-position model. Lineage: Bacteria; Bacillati; Chloroflexota; Anaerolineae; Anaerolineales; Anaerolineaceae. The record is from RNAcentral.
AAACUCAAAGGAAUUGACGGGGACCCGCACAAGCAGCGGAGCGUGUGGUUUAAUUCGUUGCUACACGAAGAACCUUACCUGGGUUUGACAUAUAGGUUGUAGGGAACUGAAAAGGGACCGACCUUCGGGGAGCCUAUACAGGUGUUGCAUGGCUGUCGUCAGCUCGUGUCGUGAGAUGUUCGGUUAAGUCCGCUAACGAGCGCAACCCUCGUCGUAUGUUAUAUGUGUCAUACGAGACUGCCGGUAAAAGCCGGAGGAAGGUGAGGAUGAUGUCAAGUCAGCAUGACCUUUAUAUCCAGGGCUACACACACGCUACAAUGGUCUGUACAAUGGGUAGCCAAGCCGCGAGGCGGAGCCAAUCCUGAAAGCAGGCCUCAGUUCAGAUUGCAGUCUGCAACUCGACUGCAUGAAGCCGGAGUUGCUAGUAACCGCAGGUCAGCAAUACUGCGGUGAAUACGUUCCCGGGUCUU